This 254-nucleotide ribosomal RNA is filed under the name uncultured bacterium. RNAcentral describes it as "partial 16S ribosomal RNA". It matches the Rfam family "Bacterial small subunit ribosomal RNA", at positions 524 to 776 of the family's 1533-position model. The record is from RNAcentral.
UACGAGGGGGGCAAGCGUUGUUCGGAUUUACUGGGCGUAAAGGGCGCGUAGGCGGUCAGCACAAGUCAGUUGUGAAAUCUCCGGGCUUAACCCGGAAAGGUCAACUGAUACUGUGCGACUAGAGUGCGGAAGGGGCAACUGGAAUUCUCGGUGUAGCGGUGAAAUGCGUAGAUAUCGAGAGGAACACCUGCGGCGAAGGCGGGUUGCUGGGCCGACACUGACGCUGAUGCGCGAAAGCCAGGGGAGCGAACGGG